RNAcentral lists this ribosomal RNA (569 nucleotides) under uncultured bacterium. Its description in RNAcentral is "partial 16S ribosomal RNA". It matches the Rfam family "Bacterial small subunit ribosomal RNA", at positions 355 to 1375 of the family's 1533-position model. The record is from RNAcentral.
UGGGGAAUAUUGCACAAUGGGCGCAAGCCUGAUGCAGCGACGCCGCGUGAGGGAUGACGGCCUUCGGGUUGUAAACCUCUUUCAAUAGGGACGAAGCGCAAGUGACGGUACCUAUAGAAGAAGGACCGGCCAACUACGUGCCAGCAGCCGCGGUAAUACGUAGGGUCCGAGCGUUGUCCGGAAUUACUGGGCGUAAAGAGCUCGUAGGUGGUUUGUCGCGUUGUUCGUGAAAACUCACAGCUUAACUGUGGGCGUGCGGGCGAUACGGGCAGACUAGAGUACUGCAGGGGAGACUGGAAUUCCUGGUGUAGCGGUGGAAUGCGCAGAUAUCAGGAGGAACACCGGUGGCGAAGGCGGGUCUCUGGGCAGUAACUGACGCUGAGGAGCGAAAGCGUGGGGAGCGAACAGGAUUAGAUACCCUGGUAGUCCACGCCGUAAACGGUGGGUACUAGGUGUGGGUUUCCUUCCUUGGGAUCCGUGCCGUAGCUAACGCAUUAAGUACCCCGCCUGGGGAGUACGGCCGCAAGGCUAAAACUCAAAUGAAUUGACGGGGUCAUAGCUGUUUUCCU